CCCUUAGAUGUUCUGGGCCGCACGCGCGCUACACUGGUGCUGACAGCGAGUGCCAAGCUUGAGAGAGCGAGGCGAUCUGCAAACGGCGCCGUGAUUGGGAUUGAGCCUUGCAAUUAUUGCUCAUGAACGAGGAAUUCCUAGUAAGCGCGAGUCAUCAGCUCGCGCUGAUUACGUCCCUGCCCUUUGUACACACCGCCCGUCGAUACUACCGAUUGAAUGGCUUAGUGAGGCCGUUGGAGAAUGCUCGCUAGAGCGUUUGAAAUUGGCCAAACUUGGUGAUUUAGAGGAAGUAAAAGUCGUAACA
RNAcentral lists this ribosomal RNA (304 nucleotides) under uncultured eukaryote. RNAcentral describes it as "partial 18S ribosomal RNA". It matches the Rfam family "Eukaryotic small subunit ribosomal RNA", at positions 1470 to 1796 of the family's 1831-position model. The record is from RNAcentral.